CUGAACACCGGCCGAGCAGCGGUGGAAAGAGGGAGGAGGUAGGCGGUGUCCUGAUGUAUUGGGCGUAAAGAGUUCGUAGGCGGUGUGUUAAGUCGGAUGUUAAAGAUCGGGGCCCAACCCUGAGAGGGCAUUGGAUACUGGCGAACUGGAGUGCAGUAGAGGCGAGUGGAAUUCCCAGUGUAGCGGUGAAAUGCGUAGAUAUUGGGAAGAACACCGGUGGCGUAGGCGACUCGCUGGGCUGUAACUGACGCUGAGGAACGAAAGCCAGGGGAGCGAAUGGGAUUAGAUACCCUGGUAGUC
RNAcentral lists this ribosomal RNA (300 nucleotides) under uncultured Luteolibacter sp. RNAcentral's name for it is "bacterial SSU rRNA". It matches the Rfam family "Bacterial small subunit ribosomal RNA", at positions 496 to 795 of the family's 1533-position model. Lineage: Bacteria; Pseudomonadati; Verrucomicrobiota; Verrucomicrobiia; Verrucomicrobiales; Verrucomicrobiaceae. The record is from RNAcentral.